This 402-nucleotide ribosomal RNA is filed under the name uncultured bacterium. Its description in RNAcentral is "partial 16S ribosomal RNA". It matches the Rfam family "Bacterial small subunit ribosomal RNA", at positions 355 to 774 of the family's 1533-position model. The record is from RNAcentral.
UGGGGAAUAUUGGACAAUGGGCGAAAGCCUGAUCCAGCCAUGCCGCAUGAGUGAAGAAGGCCUUUGGGUUGUAAAGCUCUUUUAGUGAGGAAGAUAAUGACGGUACUCACAGAAGAAGUCCUGGCUAACUCCGUGCCAGCAGCCGCGGUAAUACGGAGAGGGCUAGCGUUAUUCGGAAUUAUUGGGCGUAAAGGGCGCGUAGGCUGGUUAAUAAGUUAAAAGUGAAAUCCCGAGGCGUAACCUUGGAAUUGCUUUUAAAACUAUUAAUCUAGAGAUUGAAAGAGGAUAGAGGAAUUCCUGAUGUAGAGGUAAAAUUCGUAAAUAUUAGGAGGAACACCAGUGGCGAAGGCGUCUAUCUGGUUCAAAUCUGACGCUGAAGCGCGAAGGCGUGGGGAGCAAACA